GCAUAAUAAAUAGUUUAUUAAUUAUAGACUGGAAUGAAAGGUAGAAACUAAAAAGAAAGUUUUAUUUUAUAAAUUUGAACUUAAAUUAAAAGUAAAAAUGCUUUUAUUAAUCCUUGGGACGAGAAGACCCUAGAAGCUUAAAAAUUUAAAAUUUUUUAAUUGGGGUAAUUUUUAAAGAAAUCUAUUUUUAAAUAAUCAAACUUAAAAUAAUAAUAAAGUUACUCUAGGGAUAACAGCAUUAUUUAAUUAGCAAGUUCUUAUUAAUAAUUAAGAUUAUGACCUCGAUGUUGAAUUAAUU
RNAcentral lists this ribosomal RNA (298 nucleotides) under Discocyrtus invalidus. Its description in RNAcentral is "partial 16S ribosomal RNA". Lineage: Eukaryota; Metazoa; Arthropoda; Arachnida; Opiliones; Gonyleptidae. The record is from RNAcentral.